Long non-coding RNA from Pezoporus occidentalis (night parrot), 4386 nucleotides. RefSeq lists it as uncharacterized. The record is from RefSeq and is a predicted model, not a curated record. NCBI's taxonomy places the organism in Eukaryota, Metazoa, Chordata, Aves, Psittaciformes, Psittacidae. The transcript is spliced from 2 exons.
AAGAAUGAAAUCUCUGAGGCUGAAGCAGGAAAGUAUUUAUGCCAGAAAGUGAUGCAGAACUGCUCAGGUCUACUGGAGGAAGGCAGGGACUUCAUCAUGAGGGGCCCUGUAGAGACAGAGGACAACCCACUCGAGCCUGUGUACAUGACAUCCUCCCUCCUACCAUUGCCAUCAUAAGACUGUCCAGGUAGGGCCUAAUACUGCUCUGCCUCCAGCAUUAUCUGUUCAAUUCUCCAAGUGUAGGACAUCUGCUAUGCAGACAAUCCCAUGGCACAAAGCUGCCCAGCUCUGGUCCUACUGACAAACCCUAGAUGCUGCUCACCGUCUCUCCAGCACACUUACGUUAUAGUGUAUUUCCCUGGCCUGCUCAUUUGCUCCUUCACUUUGGGAACCAGAGGAUUUUCCCCCUCCUGGCUGAGUACACAAAGUGUAGACCAUUAUGUCAACAUCCACCCUGGCUCUGAUUUCAAGAGUUGACUGUCAUCAGGCAUCAGUGCUACCAGGGAGCUUUCUGCUAGGUAUGGUCCAGACAACUGCUUGGACCAAUCUUGUUAAUGACUUAUGUGCAGCUGCAGAGGAACAUGGAACCCUUCUCUGCCAGAAUGCUAGGGGAAUUUCUAGUUUUAACCCUCCAUGGAGUACCCUAAGCUUUGAAUGUGAAUAAAAAGGCGUCUUUUGGUAAAUGAGAUUAAUUUUAUUAGGAGGGAAAAUGUAAGCAAGUAAGCAUUAAAUUUGUUCACAAGUACAGUAAGUGUUGGUUGGAAAAAAACAUAGAGACCACCUUAUGGAUGCCUUAACCAGCCACGGCUAACCGAAAUCUGAGAGUGUAAACAGACAGCACAUAUCGUUCUGCUACCUCCUCAAAGGCUAAGGACUGGGCAAAGAGGUGCUUUGAUGAAAGUUUCUUUCCCUCUGCUAAACGCAUGCUUUUCCUGAGUAGGUGCCAUGUAUAAAGAAGAAAUCAUGCUAAAGGCGUAAUGCUGUUUUCCAAGCCAAUGUUUCGUUUGCCUCCUCUUAGAAUAUACAUUUCUUUGCUUAUGAUCUUGGCAUGGCUGUACAUAUUUUCUAUUCUCUUCAGGGGUGGUUUGCUUUGUUGUCAUAGCAAUGCCUUCUAACUCCUGCACUCACCAGUUUCUGUUCAGGUUCCUGCAGGCUGCAACCAGUCCCUCAUUGUGAUGAUCACAUCUCCUAGCAGCUUUAACGCCUCUUUUUUUUUUAUCUUCUAACUAUAGGCACAUUCAGUAGCAUGAUUCCAAAGAAUUCUGGCCCAAACAGGUUUUCAGCUUGAAGUUAAAAAAAAAAAAAAACAACAAAAAAAAGGCACUAACAUUGUUUGUGUCUGUUUGGGGUUUUCAUUGUUCUACUGAUGAUCUAAUAUUUCAACAUUUUUAUUCAUUCAUCUUCUGAGUUUUUCUUGGACAUGAACUAUAACUGCCUCGGUGAUCUGGCUAUCGGAGAUGAGGUGCAUCAAUCUGCCUGAGCACUGUUCUUCCCUGUCACGAUCACAAAGGCAGUGUGAAGCUGGGACCAGGCCAGCUCCAACAAAAUGGUCCCCUUUUCCUGUGCAGACUUGCUCAACAGCUUUCGUUCUGCAAAGCUCUGCUUUUAGAGGCUCAUCACCUCUAAAGGUAGGGCUCUUCACUCUAAGCUGUUUACUGCUAUGCCGGGCAAGAAAAGCUAAAGGGGUCAGGGAGCCUAGAUGAAUUUCUUAGACUUCCUCCCCUCAUUCAGGGCACUCUUAGUACAAAGUAGAUCAUCCCAACCAUGGGAUAUUGCUGGACAUGGACAAAGUGGGAUGGGGUAAGAACUCAACUUUGCAGUCAACCUCAGGGCCCAGCUUUGCUGUGAGCUUCCCUAUCCUUGAACAACUCAGUCCCUCCAUCCAGCACAUCAGCAUACCCAGGGCAAAAGGGAGGAAACACUUUCUGCCUCAUGCAGGAGGGCAAAAUCCUUCUAAGCCAAUAGAAUCAUAGAAUGGUUUGGGUUGUAAGGGACCUUCAAAGCUCAUCUAGUCCAAAACCCCUGCAAUGAGCAGGGGCAUCUUCAACUAGAUCAGGUUGCCCAAAACCACAUCGAGCCUGUCCUGGAAUGUCUUCAGGGAUGGUGCAUCCACCACCUCUCUGGGCAACCUGAGCCAGUGUUUUACCACCCUCAUUGUAAAAGUUUUCUUCCUCGUGUCCAGCCCGAAUCUCACCUCUUUUAGUUUAAAAUCACCUAGACUUGGGUACCCCCAUGGAAGGGCUGAUGACAGAUACUACAUAGGGAAAGCAUAGACUUUCUUUGUCUUGUCUGCUGUCCAUGGCAACUGUGGAUCUGAAGGUGCUGUUCAGCGGCUGCCCUGAACUCAGGCAGGGAUGCUACUCUGAGUAAUGUACCUAGAUUCAAUUUGAAGUCCAACUUCCUCAUAUUGCACCUCUGGUGUGUUCUUCAUCUUCUGGUUUUAUAUGUAUAUGGGAAACCCUUUCACACGAUGGGGUGAUUCUACCAUCUUCCCCUGCACAGAUCUCCCUCAUUUUAUUGAUGCAAGCCCUGUAUUCGAGAGGAUACAUGAGGCUUCCAAAGUAGCAAGCCAAUGGAGCCGUAACCUAUAGGCUCACCCCCAGAUAUUUUCUUGAGACCGACUAUUACAGGCUUGCAUUCCACCCUUACCACACAAAAUACAAAUCACAGAACAGAUAUGGCUCCUGCUCCAGAGAGCUUUGUUCGUCACACAGUGGCCGUAUGAGGUUGCUGGCUAAUACUUUGUUGCUGUUGGAAUUAGUUUCAAUAUGAAUCAAUACCCUUUUUUUUUCAGCACGGUAGGCACACAUGCCAUACAAUUGAAAGCAAUUUUAAAGGAGCUUGUGCUUUAAUGAAACUCCUCUUGGGUUUCAGUUCCAAAGCGAGUAUCAGGCAGGAUCAUUAGUUAUUUACUGUCUUCGUAAACAUUGCAUUCAGUUUGGAUUGUUGUUGUUGCUGGUUUUUAAAUCAAAGAUUUUGAUUUUUUCCCUUUUUCCCCAAAGUAGGAAUAUUUGUCUUUGAAUCCUCCAACAGCUUUGGAAUGCAGCCUCCACACAGACUUUAAUAGCAAAACCCACUUCUUCUGACUCAGGGACCAUUUGAUGAAAUGUCUAGAGAAGCAAAGAGCAGCAACAAAAAAAGCUUUACACAGAUGCUUCCCUGUGACUAACAGAACGUCCACCCAAAGCAGAGAGAGUCUGUCCUUGUCCAUUGUGGUUGGCUGCCUGGGACAAGACACGGAUCUGGGAUGUGGGAUGAGUGAGAUCUGCAAAAGGAUCCAUAUGAUGGACAAGCCUGCUGAGGAGUGGAGCUUAUGAAGUGACAGUGAAAUCAGCCCCAGGAGGGUGACUCUUUCUCUCUUCUGAGCAUGUAAGCUGCUGAAGCUGAGUCACAGUUCCAGCCGUUUGGAAGGAUGGGGGGCUGGAAUGAAAUAUAGCAACAAUUAACAAAAGAUGAAUGUACUGAAUAAGAGCCUCCUCCAUUUCAUUUUCCUUAUGGAUGCUCUUGAUUCAUCACUCUAGCAGUCCUGGCUCCCACCCAGGAUGCAAAGGGCAUAAUAUAGGUUGUCUGGAGGCAGUGGCUAGGAAAGAUAAGGAAUAUUCCUGCUCAGUAUUUUGUACAGGAAAUCUUCUUGUAUGUGACCUACCCAAAUUGCUUAUGUUGAACAGCAAAAUGUUAUCAUGGGGAAAGAAUCGUGCCAGUUUGGAUUACUGUGCUAUUUGAGGGUGGCUAUUAUCAAGUGGGUAGUAUCAGUCACAGCAAGUAGUUGUUCUGGGAGCAGCUGAUGCAGUGAAAGCUGCUUCCUAUGUGUCUUUACCCCAUGCCUUGUAUACACAACCUUAUAACUACAGCUUCACACAGUGACUUGCACAGUCCCACACCACCUCCAGUUCCCCACAUUGUGUAAGUCCCACCUGCUUUCCUGCACCACAGCAAUAGACAUUUGGUGGUGGGAAAGCUCCAGCAUGUAAAGGCUGGCGGGUGUGUGCUUGUUGCUGGGUCAUCCUUUGAGCCAAAAGGGUGACUGUGGAACUACCUCAUCUUUGCUCAAACAAGGGCAUUCAUUUGGGUAUCUAUCUCCUCUCAGCCCAGUGCUGAUUUUCAUUAAGCUUGGUAAGGUUGCAAAGAUAUUAUUUUCCUACCUCUCUGCCAAAUUCAGCUGGAAUUGGCCAACAGGUUUAAAAGCAUUUGAAUGGGGGAGGAGGAUGGGAAAGGAGAGGAAAACAGACAGCAGGCUCACAUAAGCCUCAUUUCAUUAGGAAGCCAGGCUAAAAAAAGAGAGUUUAACUUCUAGCUAUUAAAAUUUUUGGAUUUGUCUUGAAUACUUAACUAUACAAAGAGAGCUGGUUUUUAUCCAGAGCAGUUAAUAAACAGGUGUCAUCCCUG